Phocoena sinus (vaquita) is the source of this 278-nucleotide ribozyme. It matches the Rfam family "RNase MRP". From Rfam's summary of the family: RNase MRP is an enzymatically active ribonucleoprotein with two distinct roles in eukaryotes. In mitochondria it plays a direct role in the initiation of mitochondrial DNA replication. Lineage: Eukaryota; Metazoa; Chordata; Mammalia; Artiodactyla; Phocoenidae. The record is from Ensembl.
GCUCGUGCUGAAGGCCUGUUUCCUAGGCUACGAACUGGGGACUAGUUCCUUACUUGCGCCUAGGGGAAAGUCCCCGGACUUCUGGCAGAGAGUGCCGCGUGCGCAUGUACGUUAGACCUUCCCUGCUUCUCACGGUUAAGUCCGCCAAGAAGCGAUCCCGCAGCUGGUGGGGGAGCCGAGCGGCGUGUUGCUGGGGGUGUCAUCCGUCUACUUCUAUAGUUACGCAGGCAGUGCACCAUCGUGCGCACCAACCACACGGGGCUCAUUCUCAGUACGGC